ACAGGAUUCCCCUAGUAACGGCGAGUGAAGCGGGAAGAGCUCAAGCUUGAAAUCUCCGACACAGAUUGAGUUCUGUGCGGCGAAUUGUAGUCUAUGGAAGCGUGGUCAGUGUAGACACUCGAGUUAAGUUCCUUGAAAAAGGACAGCAUGGAGGGUGAUACUCCCGUCUAUCCUUGAGUGGCUUAUGCGUACGGCCCGUUUUCUUUGAGUCGCGUUGUUUGAGAAUGCAGCGCAAAGUAGGUGGUAAAUUCCAUCUAAAGCUAAAUAUUGGUGCGAGACCGAUAGCGAACAAGUACCGUGAGGGAAAGAUGAAAAGAACUUUGAAAAGAGAGUUAAAGAGUACCUGAAACUGCUGAAAGGGAACCGGAUCGUUUCUAGUGUCUAUAAUCUGUGGUAUAUUUCAUUGGCAAGUGUGUGUGUGCGUGUGCUGUGCGGCAGCGGCCUUUUUAGGCUGCGCCCGGCGUGUGUGUGCAUGUGUUUGCUGGUGCCCUGUACUGCGGUGGGACGUCAACGUCAGUUCGUAUGCUGUGGGAAAUGACUGCUGAGGAGGUAGGGCUUACGCUUGCGUUUGUCUGUUAUAUCUUGGCGGACUUUGUCGUGGUUGGGACUGAGGUGCCUAUAAUGUGCUUAUACGAGUGGGUCAUGCGUCUCUGUGCGCGCUGUGUGCGGAUAGCUUGCUAUGCGUGUGUGGCUGUGUGUGGAUUGAUACGGGCUUUAACUUGUUGCCGUUCGGGACGUUGGCGAAAUGGAGCGAUCUGACCCGUCUUGAAACACGGACCAAGGAGUCUAACAUAUGUGCAAGUGUUAGGGUGUGGAAACCCCAGCGCGAAAUGAAAGUAAAGGACAGCGCAAGUUGUCUUAGGUAGGAAAUGCUGCGGGUUUCGGUCUGCGGCGUGGCACUAUCGACCGAUCAUGAACCUUCGUGGUGAAAGAUUUGAGUUUGAGCAYAUAUGUUGGUACCCGAAAGAUGGUGAACUAUGCCUGAGUAGGGUGAAGCCAGGGAAACUC
RNAcentral lists this ribosomal RNA (1008 nucleotides) under Perofascia lepidii. RNAcentral describes it as "LSU rRNA". It matches the Rfam family "Eukaryotic large subunit ribosomal RNA", at positions 69 to 864 of the family's 3401-position model. The record is from RNAcentral. Lineage: Eukaryota; Oomycota; Peronosporomycetes; Peronosporales; Peronosporaceae.